This 87-nucleotide transfer RNA is filed under the name Nocardia sp. NRRL S-836. Its description in RNAcentral is "tRNA-Leu". It matches the Rfam family "tRNA". From Rfam's summary of the family: Transfer RNA (tRNA) molecules are approximately 80 nucleotides in length. Their secondary structure includes four short double-helical elements and three loops (D, anti-codon, and T loops). Further hydrogen bonds mediate the characteristic L-shaped molecular structure. tRNAs have two regions of fundamental functional importance: the anti-codon, which is responsible for specific mRNA codon recognition, and the 3' end, to which the tRNAs corresponding amino acid is attached (by aminoacyl-tRNA synthetases). tRNAs cope with the degeneracy of the genetic code in two manners: having more than one tRNA (with a specific anti-codon) for a particular amino acid; and 'wobble' base-pairing, i.e. permitting non-standard base-pairing at the 3rd anti-codon position. Lineage: Bacteria; Bacillati; Actinomycetota; Actinomycetes; Mycobacteriales; Nocardiaceae. The record is from RNAcentral.
GUCCGGGGUGGCGGAAUGGCAGACGCGCUAGCUUGAGGUGCUAGUCCCCGAAAGGGGGUGGGGGUUCAAGUCCCCCCUCGGACACCA